Molecule: ribosomal RNA, 393 nt
Filed under: uncultured bacterium
Lineage: Bacteria
Description: partial 16S ribosomal RNA
Rfam family: Bacterial small subunit ribosomal RNA
Source: RNAcentral
AUACGGAGGACGCGAGCGUUAUCCGGAUUCAUUGGGUUUAAAGGGUGCGCAGGCGGCCGUGCAAGUCAGCGGUGAAAGCCCGGGGCCCAACCCCGGAAGUGCCGUUGAUACUGCAUGGCUUGAAUGCGGUCGAGGCGGGCGGAACGUGGCGUGUAGCGGUGAAAUGCGUAGAUAUGCCACAGAACGCCGAUAGCGGAGGCAGCUCGCCAGGCCUGCAUGGACGCUCGGGCACGAAAGCGUGGGGAUCGAACAGGAUUAGAUACCCUGGUAGUCCACGCCGUAAACGAUGGGCGCUCGUCGUCGGCGGCAGACAGUCGGCGGCCAAGCGAAAGCGAUAAGCGCCCCACCUGGGGAGUACGGCCGCAAGGCUGAAACUCAAAUGAAUUGACGGGG